UACGUAGGGCGCAAGCGUUAUCCGGAAUUAUUGGGCGUAAAGAGCUCGUAGGCGGCUUGUUGCGUCGGUUGUGAAAGCCUGGGGCUUAACCCCGGGUCUGCAGUCGAUACGGGCAGGCUAGAGUGUGGUAGGGGAGAUCGGAAUUCCUGGUGUAGCGGUGAAAUGCGCAGAUAUCAGGAGGAACACCGGUGGCGAAGGCGGAUCUCUGGGCCAUUACUGACGCUGAGGAGCGAAAGCGUGGGGAGCGAACAGG
This 253-nucleotide ribosomal RNA is filed under the name uncultured bacterium. RNAcentral describes it as "partial 16S ribosomal RNA". It matches the Rfam family "Bacterial small subunit ribosomal RNA", at positions 524 to 776 of the family's 1533-position model. The record is from RNAcentral.